This 1251-nucleotide ribosomal RNA is filed under the name Triticum aestivum (bread wheat). RNAcentral describes it as "partial small subunit ribosomal RNA". Lineage: Eukaryota; Viridiplantae; Streptophyta; Magnoliopsida; Poales; Poaceae. The record is from RNAcentral.
AUGGAGGCGGCGGCGGCGGCGAGGCAGAGGGCGCGGCCGCGCACGCCGCCGGCCGAGGAGUACGACCCGUGGACGGCCUGGCUCUACAAGCCGCGCACCAUCUCCGUGCUCCUCGUCGGCGCAUGCCUCCUCAUCUGGGCGAGUGGAGCUCUGGACCCGGAGGGCGCUGCCUCCCACAGCAGCGCGACAUCUAUCAAGAGGGGUGUCUGGGCUAUGAUUGCGGUGUUCCUCGCUUACUGCACACUCCAGGCACCAUCAACGAUACUUAUUCGGCCCCAUCCUGCUUUCUGGCGCCUGGUGCAUGGGCUGGCGGUUGUUUACCUUGUUGCUCUCACCUUUCUUCUUUUCCAGAAUCGUGACGAUGCUCGCCGGUUCAUGAAACACCUUUCUCCUGAUCUCGGAGUUGAAUUACCGGAGAGAUCCUAUGGAGCCGAUUGCCGUCUGUAUGUUCCAGAAAACCCUAAAAACAAGUUCAUAAAUAUUUAUGAGACAUUGUUUGAUGAAUUUGUGGUCGCCCAUGUCUUGGGCUGGUGGGGCAAGGCUGUAAUGAUACGGAAUCAAGCUCUCCUUUGGGUCUUGUCGAUUGGCUUCGAGCUAAUGGAGCUUACGUUCCGACAUAUGCUGCCAAACUUUAAUGAGUGCUGGUGGGAUAGUAUUAUCUUGGACAUCUUGAUCUGCAAUUGGUUUGGUAUUUGGGCGGGAAUGCACACGGUCCGAUACUUCGAUGGCAAAACAUAUGAAUGGGUUGGACUGAGCCGACAGCCCAGCAUCAUGGGUAAGGUGAAAAGAUCGUUGAGCCAGUUCACUCCGGCACAGUGGGACAAGGAUCAAUGGCAGCCGUUCAUGGGGCCGUUGCGGUUCAUCCAAGUGUUGUUCCUCUGCGUCGUUUUCAUGAUGGUGGAACUCAACACAUUUUUCCUUAAAUUCUGCCUCUGGAUCCCUCCGAGGAAUCCCCUGGUUGUGUACAGAUUGAUCCUGUGGUGGCUGAUCGCGAUCCCGACCAUCCGCGAGUACAACUCGUACCUGCAGGACAGCAAACCGGUGAAGAAGGUCGGGGCCUUCUGUUGGCUCUCUGUAGCCAUAUGCAUAGUGGAGCUGCUUAUCUGCAUGAAGUUUGGGCAUGGUCUUUUUCAUGAUCCGAUGCCUACCUGGCUGAUCAUCUUUUGGAGGUCGGCGGGGAUAGCAUUCGUGAUCUUCAUGCUCGCCUGGUCGUGGAGGAACCACCAGAAAUUCCGGAGAAAGAAUCUUUGA